UCAAGAACUUCAAGGCAUACUCCAAGGCUUUUAUCCUUCAUUUAGUAAGUACCAUCAUCUUUCUUAUGAUUAUUACACAUCCUCCUACUCAAAAUCAUAGAUUGCUUACACAAACAUCAUCACAUUCUUGUUAGAUCUUUGAAUCUUCAAGUGAUUCUUCAAGUGUUCUUGAGUUGGACACUUCUCUUCUUCAACACUCAUCUACUGAAAUCACCUAAGGUGAGUUCAUACCCCUACAUUUUCAUGUUUUCUCAAGUUUUUAGCGGGGGAAUACAAGUUAAAACACCAAGAACAUAACUAAAAUUUUCUAACAGCUUUCAUCAGAAAAGUUGGACUCCAUUCACGGACUGUUUUGGACAAAUUAAACAUUUUAGUUUUCAAAACUGUCUUAGGUGCAAGUAGUUCCAGUUCUUAGCUUU
RNAcentral lists this long non-coding RNA (419 nucleotides) under Lactuca sativa (garden lettuce). RNAcentral describes it as "long non-coding RNA (LSAT_LNC006617)". The record is from RNAcentral. Lineage: Eukaryota; Viridiplantae; Streptophyta; Magnoliopsida; Asterales; Asteraceae.